Molecule: ribosomal RNA, 253 nt
Filed under: uncultured bacterium
Lineage: Bacteria
Description: partial 16S ribosomal RNA
Rfam family: Bacterial small subunit ribosomal RNA
Source: RNAcentral
UACGGAGGAUCCAAGCGUUAUCCGGAUUUAUUGGGUUUAAAGGGUGCGCAGGCGGGCAUAUAAGUCAGUGGUGAAAUCUCCCGGCUCAACUGGGAAACUGCCAUUGAUACUGUAUGUCUAGAGUUCAGAUGAGGUAGGCGGAAUGUGUCAUGUAGCGGUGAAAUGCUUAGAUAUGACACAGAACACCGAUUGCGAAGGCAGCUUACCAAACUGUUACUGACGCUCAUGCACGAAAGCGUGGGGAGCGAACAGG